GUGGGGAAUAUUGGACAAUGGGCGAAAGCCUGAUCCAGCAAUGCCGCGUGCAGGAAGAAGGCCUUCGGGUUGUAAACUGCUUUUGUACGGAACGAAACGGUCCGGGUUAAUACCCUGGGCUAAUGACGGUACCGUAAGAAUAAGCACCGGCUAACUACGUGCCAGCAGCCGCGGUAAUACGUAGGGUGCAAGCGUUAAUCGGAAUUACUGGGCGUAAAGCGUGCGCAGGCGGUUUUGUAAGACAGGCGUGAAAUCCCCGGGCUCAACCUGGGAAUUGCGCUUGUGACUGCAAGGCUGGAGUGCGGCAGAGGGGGAUGGAAUUCCGCGUGUAGCAGUGAAAUGCGUAGAUAUGCGGAGGAACACCGAUGGCGAAGGCAAUCCCCUGGGCCUGCACUGACGCUCAUGCACGAAAGCGUGGGGAGCAAACAGGAUUAGAUACCCCAGUAGUCC
This 450-nucleotide ribosomal RNA is filed under the name uncultured bacterium. Its description in RNAcentral is "bacterial SSU rRNA". It matches the Rfam family "Bacterial small subunit ribosomal RNA", at positions 354 to 796 of the family's 1533-position model. The record is from RNAcentral.